AGAGCGAACGCUGGCGGCAUGCCUAACACAUGCAAGUCGCACGGUCGGGGGGUGACUUCCGGCAGUGGCGGACGGGUGAGUAACGCGUAGGGAUCUAUCCUUGGAUGGGGGGACAACCGCGGGAAACCGCGGCUAAUACCGCAUGAUGCCUGAGGGCCAAAGCUCGCGAGAGCGUCUGGGGAGGAGCCUGCGUCCGAUUAGCUAGUUGGUGGGGUAACGGCUCACCAAGGCGUCGAUCGGUAGCUGGUCUGAGAGGAUGAUCAGCCACACUGGGACUGAGACACGGCCCAGACUCCAUUUGGAGGCAGCAGUGAGGAAUCUUCCGCAAUGGGCGAAAGCCUGACGGAGCAAUACCGCGUGGAGGAAGAAAGCCUAUGGGUUGUAAACUCCUUUCUCGGAGAAGAAUACUGACGGUAUCCGAGGAAUAAGCAUCGGCAAAAUCUGCGCCAGCAGCCGCGGUAA
RNAcentral lists this ribosomal RNA (462 nucleotides) under uncultured bacterium. Its description in RNAcentral is "SSU rRNA". It matches the Rfam family "Bacterial small subunit ribosomal RNA", at positions 26 to 523 of the family's 1533-position model. The record is from RNAcentral.